ACUAGGGAUCGGGCUGUAGUUUCAAACGUACUCGCUCGGCACCUUAAGAGAAAUCAAAGUUUUUGGGUUCUGGNGNGAGUAUGGUCCCAAGGCUGAAACUUAAAGGAAUUGACGGAAGGGCACCACCAGGAGUGGAGCCUGCGGCUUAAUUUGACUCAACACGGGGAAACUCACCAGGUCCAGACACAGUAAGGAUUGACAGAUUGAGAGCUCUUUCUUGAUUCUGUGA
RNAcentral lists this ribosomal RNA (229 nucleotides) under uncultured fungus. RNAcentral describes it as "partial 18S ribosomal RNA". It matches the Rfam family "Eukaryotic small subunit ribosomal RNA", at positions 1045 to 1273 of the family's 1831-position model. Lineage: Eukaryota; Fungi. The record is from RNAcentral.